This is an RNA transcript of Oncorhynchus gorbuscha (pink salmon), 736 nucleotides long. It is a transcript of the gene named small EDRK-rich factor 2-like, with no coding region annotated. The record is from RefSeq and is a predicted model, not a curated record. NCBI's taxonomy places the organism in Eukaryota, Metazoa, Chordata, Actinopteri, Salmoniformes, Salmonidae. The transcript is spliced from 3 exons.
GUAGCUACUCUCGCGAUGUCGCGUAUCAACGCGUUCAAUUGCCGUGACGAACAUCAAAUAUUGUCGGUGCACAGCUGCCAGGCUUGGUUGAUUGGCAUCCUUCUCACCGUCAGCUACAAACAAUAAACAAAAUGACAAGGGGAAAUCAGCGUGACCUUGCUCGUGCUAAAAAUGCCAAAAAGCAAGGGAAUGACAAGGGAAAGAAGGCAGAUGAUGGCAUGUCUGCAGCUGCGAGGAAGCUGAGGGAUGCAGAGAUAAUGCAACAGAAGCAGAAAAAAGCCAGUGACCCAAAGCCAAGUGAUGAGAAAGCCAAAUAGCAGCAGGAUACAGAACCCAAACUACAAUUCUCAAAUAUCAAGAUGUUACCUAUUGAUUAGGUUUUUUUGUCCCAUGCUCUGGGGUACAAAACCAGUUUAAUUUGUGGUUGUACUGUUUGAGAAAUUAAUGGUUUUGAAUGACUAAUGCUUAAGCCUAUUUCAAAAGUUAAAUCAGUAUUUACAAUGUAAAGAAGAAAUUCAGACUCCACAACAAUCCUGUAUUUUUGUAUUCCCUCCUAGAUUUUAAAUAACGCAACUAGUGGUUUUGUUCUUUUUAUAUUAAGGAUUGUCAUAUACAGUGCUGAUGAAAUAAAUUAAAUGAUUUAUUGUAACAAAUUAUAAUUCACACCUGUACAGAAACUUUAAUCAAUAAAAAUACAAUUAGCAAUCAUUAAAUAAAGCACCAAUGUAAAAUGUGA